Molecule: ribosomal RNA, 604 nt
Filed under: Propionibacterium acidifaciens
Lineage: Bacteria; Bacillati; Actinomycetota; Actinomycetes; Propionibacteriales; Propionibacteriaceae
Description: bacterial SSU rRNA
Rfam family: Bacterial small subunit ribosomal RNA
Source: RNAcentral
AAUGGGCGGAAGCUGAUGCAGCAACGCCGCGUGCGGGAUGACGGCCUUCGGGUUGUAAACCGCUUUCACCCAUGACGAAGCGCGAGUGACGGUAGUGGGGGAAGAAGCACCGGCCAACUACGUGCCAGCAGCCGCGGUGAUACGUAGGGUGCGAGCGUUGUCCGGAAUUAUUGGGCGUAAAGAGCUUGUAGGCGGUUGAUCGCGUCGAUAGUGAAAUCCCGGGGCUCAACCUCGGGCUUGCUGUCGAUACGGGUUGACUUGAGGAAGGUAGGGGAGAAUGGAACUCCCGGUGGAGCGGUGGAAUGCGCAGAUAUCGGGAAGAACACCGGUGGCGAAGGCGGUUCUCUGGACCUUUCCUGACGCUGAGAAGCGAAAGCGUGGGGAGCAAACAGGCUUAGAUACCCUGGUAGUCCACGCUGUAAACGGUGGGUACUAGGUGUGGGUCGCAUUCCACGUGAUCCGUGCCGUAGCCAACGCAUUAAGUACCCCGCCUGGGGAGUACGGCCGCAAGGCUAAAACUCAAAGGAAUUGACGGGGCCCCGCACAAGCGGCGGAGCAUGCGGAUUAAUUCGAUGCAACGCGAAGAACCUUACCUGGGUUUGAC